RNAcentral lists this ribosomal RNA (497 nucleotides) under uncultured bacterium. RNAcentral describes it as "partial 16S ribosomal RNA". It matches the Rfam family "Bacterial small subunit ribosomal RNA", at positions 28 to 507 of the family's 1533-position model. The record is from RNAcentral.
GAUGAACGCUGGCGGCGUGCCUAAUACAUGCAAGUCGAGCGAACAGACGAGGAGCUUGCUCCUCUGACGUUAGCGGCGGACGGGUGAGUAACACGUGGAUAACCUACCUAUAAGACUGGGAUAACUUCGGGAAACCGGAUCUAAUACCGGAUAAUAUAUUGAACCGCAUGGUUCAAUAGUGAAAGACGGUUUUGCUGUCACUUAUAGAUGGAUCCGCGCUGCAUUAGCUAGUUGUUAAGGUAACGGCUUACCAAGGCAACGAUGCGUAGCCGACCUGAGAGGGUGAUCGGCCAGACUGGAACUGAGACACGGUCCAGACUCCUACGGGAGGCAGCAGUAGGGAAUCUUCCGCAAAGGGCGAAAGCCUGACGGAGCAACGCCGCGUGAGUGAUGAAGGUCUUCGGAUCGUAAAACUCUGUUAGUAGGGAAGAACAAAUGUGUAAGUAACUAUGCACGUCUUGACGGUACCUAAUCAGAAAGCCACGGCUAACUACGUG